This 509-nucleotide ribosomal RNA is filed under the name uncultured bacterium. Its description in RNAcentral is "partial 16S ribosomal RNA". The record is from RNAcentral.
GGAGUUAGCCGGUGCUUCUUCUGUGAGUGAUGUCCUUCCUGCCGGUUAUUGACCCGCAGGCCUUCUUCCUCACUGAAAGUGCUUUACAACCCGAAGGCCUUCUUCACACACGCGGCAUGGCUGGAUCAGGGUUGCCCCCAUUGUCCAAUAUUCCCCACUGCUGCCUCCCGUAGGAGUCUGGGCCGUGUCUCAGUCCCAGUGUGGCUGAUCAUCCUCUCAGACCAGCUACGGAUCGUCGCCUUGGUGAGCCGUUACCUCACCAACCAGCUAAUCCGACAUAGGCUCAUCCGAUAGCGCGAGGCCCGAAGGUCCCCCGCUUUCCCCCGUAGGGCGUAUGCGGUAUUAGCCUGGGUUUCCCCCAGGUUAUCCCCCGACUACCGGGCAGAUUCCUAUGCAUUACUCACCCGUCCGCCGCUCGCCACCAGGGAGCAAGCUCCCCGUGCUGCCGCUCGACUUGCAUGUGUUAGGCCUGCCGCCAGCGUUCAAUCUGAGCCAGAAUCGAACCCUGA